AGAGUGAGGGGAUGGGAGAGUCCAAUGGCAUGUGGGGUUUUUGUUCCCUUCUCUCAUCACAAAAGUUUAUUUGAUGCUAUUCUCUUUCCAGGGAUUUGGCACAUGUCUUGGGCAAAGUUGCUAGACUUGUAGAUUUAAAAUGUCACAAAAGCAGGUGAGGUAAGGUGGAAUAGUCAAAAGAAAGAGGUGGGGUAGAAAAAAUAGCUAUGACUGUCGAAGAAAUCAGAGGAUUUAGACCUGAAAGAAGUCUUAGAAAUCAUUUAGUCCAGAGAAGAGGAAACAAAGACCCAGAGAAGGAGAGGCAUACACCCACUAAGAAUAUGGAAAUAAGAGGAGUGUCUGUAACUGCAUGA
RNAcentral lists this long non-coding RNA (353 nucleotides) under Monodelphis domestica (gray short-tailed opossum). Its description in RNAcentral is "lncRNA (ENSMODG00000030582.2)". The record is from RNAcentral. Lineage: Eukaryota; Metazoa; Chordata; Mammalia; Didelphimorphia; Didelphidae.